Molecule: long non-coding RNA, 2066 nt
Organism: Alosa alosa (allis shad)
Lineage: Eukaryota; Metazoa; Chordata; Actinopteri; Clupeiformes; Clupeidae
Exons: 3
Source: RefSeq, a predicted model, not a curated record
GCAUUCAAAUCUGUUCCAUAGUGUUAGGGGCUGUGGGCUUCCCUUAGGACCACAAGCCCUGUAGUAGUUUGCUGAUCUGUCUGUAUUUCUGAUAUGAGGCCUGAAGUUAACCUCUGAAUUUACUGGUGUUGAGGUAAUUACUGUUCUUGUAUUACGUUUUUUGGUCUGGCACCUUGCCUGUGCCAAGGCUCUGUACUCACAUUUCCCUUUGUGAGGUCGAUGCAUUCAUCUGCUCUAUUAGCAGUGAUAUUAGACUGCUGGGUUACAUUCUCUGCAUUUCCAGUAGUUGCUGUACUCACUUCAUGAGAUGCCUCUCGUAGUUCAUCUGUCGUUGAUGGAAGGGCAUGCAUCUUUGAUUCCAAAGUAGAAAUCCUCUGUUCUAGCUCAGUACAUUUUCGGUAUGAUCUCCUGGGUCUCUGGCCGGAGGAGCGCAUUUUGUUUUAAUCCAACUUCAAGGUGAAUUGCCGUUCAGUUUUUGCUCGUUGACUUGGCUGGCUCAUUUAAAGUAAAAAACUAACCACUAAAGUUUCAGAUUUUAAAUGUACUGGUUUCACUGUUUUUGCUAAACUAGCUUGUAAAUGAAAUAAAAGAAUGAAAAAGAGUGGAAAUUGCUAAAAGGAUAGGUGAAGCAGGAGCAGUGUGAAAUGCGUCCUACUCGCUUGAGUAGGCGUGUGUCUUUGUAGAGGGAUUCAUGAAUGGUUGUCGUUCGACUCCUCCUAAUUCCUUCCUUGCGUUAAAUUCCUCCCUGCUUGCUCAGCCGUGAAUUCCAGAUCGUGCUGCCAAUACGGAGUGGGUAUGUAAUACAAUAUUUGAAUAGAGAUAAUAGAUUAAUAAUGGCGUGUGUUUUAAACUGUAUUCUGCCUUUCAGGUGAUAUGCUAUAAUUGUCACAGGGGUGACUACAUUCCAAUGGGGGGCGGAACUAAUCUGUGUUAGUUUUCCCCGUAGGGAACAGCUUUAGCGAAACCAUCCGGGAUUAAGAUGGCGGCGCACUGUCCCAAAAUGUAAACAUGGUAGCACAGGCUGUUGUUUAGCAAUUUGCGCUGUGUUAAUUUAAUUAUUGUUCGAAUGCAGCUCAGCUGGAUGGCGGGAGGAAUUCGUUUCAAUGAUUGGUGUGCUUUUAGAGGGGGAGCACUAUGCUGCAGGUAUUCAACAAACAACACGACCGGGAGACUGGAGACGACGCGGGCUGGGCUACGGUGAGGACGAGCGACUGGAGACCGGAGGAAAAGACGAUUACUGAGACUGGCAUUCAGUGGAGGAAACCGGGAACCCUGGAAGACGGAGAAUCAAGAGGGCAGCUACAGCUAAGUACCCAUGGAGAUGUGCUGCUAGUGUAUCGUUGCUAUCGGCUAGCCUUCGGUGCUGCCUGGGUGAUCGUAGGCUACUGGGAUUGCCUGUAUUUGUGCAUCGUUCCCCUGUAUACUCAUGUUGCUGUGCCCACUAAGAAAUGUGCAUGCGAGUUUGAGUUUUCACAGAUUGCAGUGCUGAGUGAGUUUUCACAGAUUGCAGUGUUGUGUAUUUUGCACUGAAUACAGCCUCCAGUAGCCUGUCCCCGAAGCUGGCCCCGCUGAGCACUCGGAUGAGACACUGGCCUUCGCGUGGGUGGAGUUCGGCAGACAGGACCCCAGGCCCACCAGCCGCUACCCACACUUGGGCCGAACCCCUGGGCGUUAAGCCCUGUGCCCCGGCCACUGAUAACUAGCUUGCUCGCCCCCACCAGACGAGCCGUACCCGCCGCUGUCCAGCCACUGACGAGACCCCUGCUAGACGAGCCAGAUCCGCCACUGACGAGGCCCCCACCAGACGGUUUGUGCCUACCACUGCCCCGCCGCUGUCCAGCCACUGACGAGGCCCCCACUAGACGAGCCGUACCCGCCGCUACCCCAAUGCUGUCCAGCCACGGGUGAGGUUCCCGCCGGGCGAACCGUACCUGCCGCUGCCCCAGUGCCCUCCAGCUUCUAUCCCCCCGGCCUCUACACUCUCCUGGGCCACGACGACUGAACCCCCCCCCUUCCCUUUAGUAUAAAUUUUACCCCCCAAUAAAGAUUUUUUGAUUUUAACUUUA